Molecule: non-coding RNA, 107 nt
Filed under: uncultured Eubacterium sp.
Lineage: Bacteria; Bacillati; Bacillota; Clostridia; Eubacteriales; Eubacteriaceae
Description: FMN riboswitch (RFN element)
Rfam family: FMN riboswitch aptamer (RFN element)
About the family: The RFN element is a highly conserved domain that is found frequently in the 5'-untranslated regions of prokaryotic mRNAs that encode for flavin mononucleotide (FMN) biosynthesis and transport proteins. This element is a metabolite-dependent riboswitch that directly binds FMN in the absence of proteins. In Bacillus subtilis, the riboswitch most likely controls gene expression by causing premature transcription termination within the 5' untranslated region of the ribDEAHT operon and precluding access to the ribosome-binding site of ypaA mRNA.
Source: RNAcentral
GAUCUUCAGGGCAGGGUGCAAUUCCCUACCGGCGGUACAGCCCGCGAGCCAUAUGGCAGAUCCGGUGAAACUCCGGGGCCGACAGUAAAGUCUGGAUGAAAGAAGAU